RNAcentral lists this long non-coding RNA (207 nucleotides) under Lathyrus oleraceus (garden pea). RNAcentral describes it as "Pisum sativum (pea) long non-coding RNA (PSAT_LNC020028)". The record is from RNAcentral. Lineage: Eukaryota; Viridiplantae; Streptophyta; Magnoliopsida; Fabales; Fabaceae.
ACACGCAUUGGCAAGAUUUAAAUAAAGAAGAGCUGAAAGAAUGGAAAAGAAGAAGGCAUUUGGUGUUACAAGGAAACUCGGUCAAUGGUGAGUCUAAGCCGGAUAGACAAUACAUGAAUUGGUUUUUAUCAAUUCCUUUUAUGCACGUUGCUCCGACACAAUUUUUGGAUGAUCCCCGUCAACGUGUAGCUUCCGCAACCCAACACA